GCGCGGCAGGACGGAAAGACCCCGGGACCUUUACUAUAGCUUGACAUUGGUAUCUGAAUUAGCUUGUGUAGGAUAGGUGGGAGCCGGUGAAGCCUAUACGCCAGUAUGGGUGGAGGCAAUCUUGAAAUACCACUCUGGUUGAUUUGGGUAUCUAACUUCGGACCGUUAUCCGGUUCAGGGACAGUGUCUGGUGGGUAGUUUAACUGGGGCGGUUGCCUCCUAAAGGGUAACGGAGGCGCCCAAAGGUUCCCUCAGCCUGGUUGGCAAUCAGGUGUUGAGUGCAAGUGCACAAGGGAGCUUGACUGUGAGACUGACAGGUCGAGCAGGGACGAAAGUCGGGACUAGUGAUCCGGCACUGGCAUGUGGAAGCGGUGUCGCUCAACGGAUAAAAGGUACCCCGGGGAUAACAGGCUGAUCUUCCCCAAGAGUCCAUAUCGACGGGAUGGUUUGGCACCUCGAUGUCGGCUCGUCGCAUCCUGGGGCUGUAGCAGGUCCCAAGGGUUGGGCUGUUCGCCCAUUAAAGCGGUACGCGAGCUGGGUUUAGAACGUCGUGAGACAGUUCGGUCCCUAUCCGCCGUGCGCGUAGGAUACUUGAGAAGGGCUGUCCCUAGUACGAGAGGACCGGGACGGACGAACCUCUGGUGUGCCAGUUGUCCCGCCAGGGGCACGGCUGGUUAGCUACGUUCGGAAGGGAUAACCGCUGAAAGCAUCUAAGCGGGAAGCUCGCUUCAAGAUGAGGUAUCCCACCCACUUUGUGGGGUAAGGCCCCCAGCUAGACGACUGGGUUGAUAGGCCGGAAAUGUAAGCCCGGUAACGGGUUCAGUUGACCGGUACUAAUAGGCCGAGGACUUGACUAC
RNAcentral lists this ribosomal RNA (857 nucleotides) under Micromonospora sp. C41. Its description in RNAcentral is "partial 23S ribosomal RNA". It matches the Rfam family "Bacterial large subunit ribosomal RNA", at positions 2070 to 2925 of the family's 2925-position model. The record is from RNAcentral. Lineage: Bacteria; Bacillati; Actinomycetota; Actinomycetes; Micromonosporales; Micromonosporaceae.